Molecule: ribosomal RNA, 305 nt
Filed under: uncultured bacterium
Lineage: Bacteria
Description: bacterial SSU rRNA
Rfam family: Bacterial small subunit ribosomal RNA
Source: RNAcentral
GUGUUCCUACGGGACGCAGCAGUAGGGAAUCUUCGGCAAUGGGCGAAAGCCUGACCGAGCAACGCCGCGUGAAUGAAGAAGGCCUUCGGGUUGUAAAAUUCUGUUAUAAGGGAAGAAAGGUGAUAGGAGGAAAUGACUAUCAAUUGACGGUACCUUAUGAGAAAGCCACGGCUAACUACGUGCCAGCAGCCGCGGUAAUACGUAGGUGGCAAGCGUUAUCCGGAAUUACUGGGUGUAAAGGGAGCGUAGACGGCAGAGCAAGUCUGAAGUGAAAGCCCGCGGCCCAACUGCGGGACUGCUUUGGA